CAACCCUCACGCCCCGCGUGGUCUUGGGCCCUCUGCCGGCGACGGCAGGCCCCAAAGCGAGUGGCGGCGCCCGAAGGCCCUGAACGUAGUACCAUCUCUCGUUACAGGCGCCCGAGGGACGCUGGCCAGCGAACCCCAACUCUCCAC
This 147-nucleotide unclassified non-coding RNA is filed under the name uncultured Leotiomycetes. Its description in RNAcentral is "sequence contains ITS2". Lineage: Eukaryota; Fungi; Ascomycota; Leotiomycetes. The record is from RNAcentral.